GUCGAACGAGAGAUGAGGAGCUUGCUCUUCAAAUCGAGUGGCGAACGGGUGAGUAACGCGUGAGGAACCUGCCUCAAAGAAGGGGACAACAGUUGGAAACGACUGCUAAUACCGCAUAAGCCCACAGCUCGGCAUCGAGCAGGGGGAAAAGGAGUGAUCCGCUUUGAGAUGGCCUCGCGUCCGAUUAGCUAGUUGGUGAGGUAACGGCCCACCAAGGCGACGAUCGGUAGCCGGACUGAGAGGUUGAACGGCCACAUUGGGACUGAGACACGGCCCAGACUCCUACGGGAGGCAGCAGUGGGGAAUAUUGCACAAUGGGGGAAACCCUGAUGCAGCGACGCCGCGUGGAGGAAGAAGGUCUUCGGAUUGUAAACUCCUGUUGUUGAGGAAGAUAAUGACGGUACUCAACAAGGAAGUGACGGCUAACUACGUGCCAGCAGCCGCGGUAAAACGUAGGUCACAAGCGUUGUCCGGAAUUACUGGGUGUAAAGGGAGCGCAGGCGGGAGAACAAGUUGGAAGUGAAAUCCAUGGGCUCAACCCAUGAACUGCUUUCAAAACUGUUUUUCUUGAGUAGUGCAGAGGUAGGCGGAAUUCCCGGUGUAGCGGUGGAAUGCGUAGAUAUCGGGAGGAACACCAGUGGCGAAGGCGGCCUACUGGGCACCAACUGACGCUGAGGCUCGAAAGUGUGGGUAGCAAACAGGAUUAGAUACCCUGGUAGUCCACACCGUAAACGAUGAUUACUAGGUGUUGGAGGAUUGACCCCUUCAGUGCCGCAGUUAACACAAUAAGUAAUC
Molecule: ribosomal RNA, 795 nt
Filed under: uncultured bacterium
Lineage: Bacteria
Description: bacterial SSU rRNA
Rfam family: Bacterial small subunit ribosomal RNA
Source: RNAcentral